UGGGGAAUAUUGGACAAUGGGCGCAAGCCUGAUCCAGCCAUGCCGCGUGAGUGACGAAGGUCUUCGGAUUGUAAAACUCUUUUUGGCGGGGACGAUAAUGACGGUACCCGCAGAAUAAGCCCCGGCUAACUUCGUGCCAGCAGCCGCGGUAAUACGAAGGGGGCUAGCGUUGUUCGGAAUCACUGGGCGUAAAGCGCACGUAGGCGGAUGUGCCAGUCAGGGGUGAAAUCCCGGAGCUCAACUCCGGAACUGCCUCUGAUACUGCACGUCUUGAGUUCGAGAGAGGUGGGUGGAAUUCCUAGUGUAGAGGUGAAAUUCGUAGAUAUUAGGAAGAACACCGGUGGCGAAGGCGGCCCACUGGCUCGAUACUGACGCUGAGGUGCGAAAGCGUGGGGAGCAAACAGGAUUAGAUACCCCCGUAGUCCCUGAGCGGGCUGGCAAGGCGC
RNAcentral lists this ribosomal RNA (446 nucleotides) under uncultured bacterium. Its description in RNAcentral is "bacterial SSU rRNA". It matches the Rfam family "Bacterial small subunit ribosomal RNA", at positions 355 to 823 of the family's 1533-position model. The record is from RNAcentral.